CUGAGGAGGCAGCGUUUUCUGGGCUUCUUUCUGGUUCUCUCUCUCCAGAAGGUUCUGCCGGUUCCCCCAGCUUUGGGUACCCGGCUCUACAUCGCGCUGCCAUGAUGGGUCAUCGUCCGGUGCUUGUCCUUAGCCAGAACACAAAGCGUGAAUCUGGAAGAAAAUUUCAAUCUGGAAACAUCAAUGCUGCCAAGACUAUCGCAGAUAUCAUCCGAACAUGUUUGGGACCCAAGUCUAUGAUGAAGAUGCUUUUGGACCCCAUGGGAGGCAUUGUGAUGACCAAUGAUGGCAAUGCCAUUCUUCGAGAGAUUCAAGUACAGCAUCCAGCGGCCAAGUCCAUGAUUGAAAUUAGCCGGACACAGGAUGAAGAGGUUGGAGAUGGGACCAUGUCAGUAAUUAUUCUUGCUGGGGAGAUGCUGUCUGUGGCUGAGCACUUCCUAGAGCAGCAGAUACACCCAACAGUGGUGAUCAGUGCUUACCGCAAGGCGUUGGAUGAUAUUAUCAGCACCCUUAAGAAAAUAAGUAUCCCUGUCGACACCAGUAACCGAGAUAUGAUGUUGAACAUCAUUAACAGCUCCAUUACUACCAAAGUAAUCAGUCGGUGGUCGUCUUUGGCUUGCAACAUUGCCCUGGAUGCUGUCAAAACUGUACAGUUUGAGGAGAAUGGCCGGAAAGAGAUUGACAUCAAGAAAUAUGCAAGGGUAGAAAAGAUACCUGGGGGCAUCAUUGAAGACUCGUGUGUUUUAUGUGGAGUCAUCAUUAACAAGGAUGUGACCCAUCCACGAAUGCGACGCUAUAUCAAGAACCCUUGCAUUGUGUUGCUGGAUUCUUCUCUGGAAUAUAAGAAAGGAGAGAGCCAGAUUGACAUUGAGAUCACACGAGAGGAAGACUUCACCCGAAUUCUCCAAAUGAAAGAAGGUACACUCAGCAGCUCUGUGAGGACAUUAUCCAGCUGAAGCCAGAUGUGGUCAUCACAGAGAAGGGCAUCUCCGAUUUAGCUCAGCACUGCCUCAUGUGAGCAAAUAUCACAGCCAUCCGCAGAGUCCGGAAGACAGAUAAUAAUCGCAUUGCUAGAGCCUGUGGGGCCCAGAUAGUCAGCCGGCCAGAGGAACUGAGAGAAGAGGAUGUUGGAACAGGGGCAGGCCUGUUGGAAAUCAAGAAAAUUGGAGAUGAGUACUUUACAUUCAUCACUGAAUGCAAAGACCUCAAGGCCUGCACAAUUCUUCUCCGUGGGGCUAGCAAAGAGAUUCUCUCGGAAGUAGAACGCAACCUCCAGGAUGCCAUGCAAGUGUGCUGCAAUGUUCUUCUGGACCCUCAGCUGGUGCUGGGGCGGGGAGCACAGAGCCAACAGAGUCUCCCCCUUCCCUGA
This is a non-coding RNA of Odocoileus virginianus texanus, 1369 nucleotides long. The record is from RefSeq and is a predicted model, not a curated record. NCBI's taxonomy places the organism in Eukaryota, Metazoa, Chordata, Mammalia, Artiodactyla, Cervidae.